GGUUUUAACCCAGUUACUCAAGGUACGCUGGAGUUCCGACCAUUCGAAAGAAUGUGUCGAACACAAAUCUAAUUUUUGGAUCCGCUUCGCUGGGGUUAUCCGGCGAGGCAAAA
Molecule: small RNA, 113 nt
Filed under: Caenorhabditis briggsae
Lineage: Eukaryota; Metazoa; Nematoda; Chromadorea; Rhabditida; Rhabditidae
Description: sRNA CBG25111
Rfam family: SL2 RNA
About the family: This family represents SL2 RNA. SL2 RNA is involved in trans splicing in lower eukaryotes.
Source: RNAcentral